Molecule: ribosomal RNA, 823 nt
Filed under: Metarhizium viridulum
Lineage: Eukaryota; Fungi; Ascomycota; Sordariomycetes; Hypocreales; Clavicipitaceae
Description: partial large subunit ribosomal RNA
Rfam family: Eukaryotic large subunit ribosomal RNA
Source: RNAcentral
GCCCCAGUAACGGCGAGUGAAGCGGCAACAGCUCAAAUUUGAAAUCUGGCCCCUAGGGCCCGAGUUGUAAUUUGCAGAGGAUGCUUUUGGCGAGGCGCCUUCCGAGUUCCCUGGAACGGGACGCCAUAGAGGGUGAGAGCCCCGUCUGGUCGGACGCCGAGCCUCUGUAAAGCUCCUUCGACGAGUCGAGUAGUUUGGGAAUGCUGCUCUAAAUGGGAGGUAUAUGUCUUCUAAAGCUAAAUACCGGCCAGAGACCGAUAGCGCACAAGUAGAGUGAUCGAAAGAUGAAAAGCACUUUGAAAAGAGGGUUAAACAGUACGUGAAAUUGUUGAAAGGGAAGCGCUCAUGACCAGACUUGGACCCGGUGAAUCAUCCAGCGUUCUCGCUGGUGCACUUUGCCGGGCCCAGGCCAGCAUCAGUUUGCCCCGGGGGAUAAAGGCUUUGGGAAUGUGGCUCCCUCGGGAGUGUUAUAGCCCAUUGCACAAUACCCUGGGGCGGACUGAGGUUCGCGCAUCUGCAAGGAUGCUGGCGUAAUGGUCAUCAGCGACCCGUCUUGAAACACGGACCAAGGAGUCGUCUUCGUAUGCGAGUGUUCGGGUGUAAAACCCCUACGCGUAAUGAAAGUGAACGCAGGUGAGAGCUUCGGCGCAUCAUCGACCGAUCCUGAUGUUCUCGGAUGGAUUUGAGUAAGAGCAUACGGGGCCGGACCCGAAAGAAGGUGAACUAUGCCUGUAUAGGGUGAAGCCAGAGGAAACUCUGGUGGAGGCUCGCAGCGGUUCUGACGUGCAAAUCGAUCGUCAAAUAUGGGCAUGGGGGCGAAAGA